This is an RNA transcript of Ctenopharyngodon idella (grass carp), 2014 nucleotides long. It is a transcript of the gene named serine and arginine rich splicing factor 5b, with no coding region annotated. The transcript has 7 exons. Lineage: Eukaryota; Metazoa; Chordata; Actinopteri; Cypriniformes; Xenocyprididae. The record is from RefSeq and is a predicted model, not a curated record.
UACUACCAUGUACAGCAUUAAAUUUGACACAUUUUUAACUAAUUUAAUUAUUUCCACAUAUAUAGCUACAUAAUGCUUUAAAUUAUUGAGUAUACUGUGUCUGUCGGUAGAACAGUACAGUGUUCUGUUCUGAACUGAUCUCAGAUCAGCGCUAAGCGUCGCUCGCAUCUCGCAGCUCUUCACUGACUCCAUUUUGUGUGAAAGGAUUGUUCGCACAGUCACGACUCAUUCAGAGGAGAAACAUCAGAAAAAGAAGAUGAGCGGUUGUCGUAUUUUCAUCGGUCGAUUAAACCCGUCUGCUCGGGAGAAGGACGUCGAGCGGUUCUUCAAGGGUUAUGGGAGAAUCAGAGACAUUGACCUGAAAAGAGGCUUCGGAUUUGUGGAAUUUGAUGAUCCAAGAGAUGCAGAAGAUGCUGUUUAUGAUCUUGAUGGGAAAGAGCUCUGCAAUGAGAGAGUGACCAUUGAACAUGCCCGUGUCCGCCUGCGUGGGGGCCGAGGUCGUGGUGGUGCUGGUGGAGGUAGUGGGGGUGGUGGAGGACGUUUCCCUGCUCGGUAUAGUCGUGGCUCCCAGGACAGCCGGAGGAACCCUCCACCGAUGCGCACAGAGAAUCGUCUCAUUGUGGAGAAUUUGUCGUCAAGAGUCAGCUGGCAGCCUGACUGUUGUGUCGUAUGGAAGAGCUCGCUAAUGGUGGAGUUAACCCCUACAGGGUCCCUCUCUCUGGUUAAGCCACUCCCAUUGUGUCCCACGCCUAGUUGACCUCCGCCGAUCGCACGAGAGCUCUCUGUGAGUGAUGCCCUCUCGAUCUAGACGCAGCGGCUGCCGCUACAAAGCGCAGUUUGUGACGGUGCCGAGCUGAAAGAGAGAGAGAGACAGAGAGUGAAAUCGAGAGAUCGAGAGAGAGAGAGGGGCAGAAAGAGAGCGAAAAAAAGAGAAAAAGAGAGCGAAUCUCUGGCUUACGCAGUCAAUCGAGGGGUUCGGUAAUUUGAGAGGCUUCAAUCGGUAUACUCACCCACCCUGCUCUCUGGUGGUCCCACACACGUGGCCGAGGAUAAAACAGCCCGAUGGGUACGUUCCCAGGUAUUAGUCUAUAAUCUCUUCCUCGCUGUUUACGCUCGGUGCCCUUGAGGGGACGGCACAAAUAGGGUACGAUCGAUGGAGGGAGGCCUUGUGCUCUACCACACUGUAUGCACUUGUGUGUUGGUAAGAAUGCAUUUGCCAUGUAAAUGUACAUUUUACUACAUGUGGGGCCCUUUUUUUACGAGCCGCUCCACAUAGUUCCUCUGCUAGUCUGAGUCUUGUAGUUACAGGGGUCCGGGAAUGUCACAGCAUUGCAAGCCAAAAUUUCCCAGGUCAACAUUGUUCCCUUGAUAACACUGGCAACACUUUUUGUUCCAGUGCUCAUUAAUUUUGGCGAUAAAACACAGAAGUCUUUGUGUUUGCACAUUUGAGAAGCCAGGGUUGCCAUCACAACCUUUGAAUAGAGCUUAGAAAGACCGUGAAUUGGAUUCACCUCUUCGCUGCACACCAUGUUGUGAUUCUAAGUGUCCACUUGGCUUUUUGCGAUUCUUUUCUGUUUACUAAUUCAGAACGUUACCCUACACUUUUUGUUGGUUACAAAUCUAUCUGUGUGCUGCGAUUUUCUUACCUUCAAUUUCAUUUUGAUGUUUAUAUAUAGCAUAUUGAACAUGGUCCAGGCUUGAGCAAGAUCUGAGAGGUUCUCGGACCCCAACUUUGAUAGUUAAUUCACCUUGAUGCUUCAUAAAAGGUGUAAAUGUGCUUACCUAAGUUACCUAGCUAACUCAAAAUGCUGCUGUACUGUGUGUAGGAUUUAAAGGAUUUCAUGAGACAAGCUGGAGAGGUUACUUUUGCAGAUGCCCAUCGACCAAAGCUUAAUGAGGGUGUGGUUGAGUUUGCCAGUCAUAGUGAUCUAAAAAAUGCCCUGGAGAAGUUGUCUGGGAAAGAGAUCAAUGGAAGGAAAAUCAAACUUGUUGAGGCAUCCAGGAAAAAGUGAGU